UGCGGGGUAGAGCAGUUGGUAGCUCGUCGGGCUCAUAACCCGGAGGUCGCAGGUUCGAGUCCUGUCCCCGCUACUA
Molecule: transfer RNA, 76 nt
Filed under: Prolixibacteraceae bacterium JC049
Lineage: Bacteria; Pseudomonadati; Bacteroidota; Bacteroidia; Marinilabiliales; Prolixibacteraceae
Also listed under: 1 other name
Description: tRNA-Met
Rfam family: tRNA
About the family: Transfer RNA (tRNA) molecules are approximately 80 nucleotides in length.
Source: RNAcentral